Molecule: transfer RNA, 66 nt
Filed under: Aphaena amabilis
Lineage: Eukaryota; Metazoa; Arthropoda; Insecta; Hemiptera; Fulgoridae
Description: tRNA-Glu
Source: RNAcentral
AUUUAUAUAGUUUAAAUAAAACAAUACAUUUUCAAUGUAUAAAUAAAUAAAUAAAAUUUAUAAAUG